RNAcentral lists this ribosomal RNA (255 nucleotides) under uncultured bacterium. RNAcentral's name for it is "partial 16S ribosomal RNA". It matches the Rfam family "Bacterial small subunit ribosomal RNA", at positions 524 to 776 of the family's 1533-position model. The record is from RNAcentral.
UACGUAGGCAGCAAGCGUUGUUCGGAGUUACUGGGCGUAAAGGGUGUGUAGGCGGCUUUUUAAGUUUGGUGUGAAAUCUCCCGGCUCAACCGGGAGGGUGCGCCGAAUACUGAGAGGCUAGAGUGCGGGAGAGGAAAGUGGAAUUCCUGGUGUAGCGGUGAAAUGCGUAGAUAUCAGGAGGAACACCGGUGGUGUAGACGGCUUUCUGGACCGUAACUGACGCUGAAACACGAAAAGCGUGGGGUAGCAAACAGG